GAGGGUACAGCUCAGUGGUAGAGCACAUACUUAGCAUGCACAAGGUCCUGGGUUCAAUCCCCAGUACCACCA
Molecule: transfer RNA, 72 nt
Filed under: Camelus bactrianus (Bactrian camel)
Lineage: Eukaryota; Metazoa; Chordata; Mammalia; Artiodactyla; Camelidae
Also listed under: 2 other names
Rfam family: tRNA
About the family: Transfer RNA (tRNA) molecules are approximately 80 nucleotides in length.
Source: Rfam by way of RNAcentral